AGUGAACCACUGAGCUCGCACUGUGGCCAGUCCUGUGGGCCCCUGCUGGAUUCUGCUUCUAUGAGGGAGGCAGCAAGGAGUUGGGACUUCACAGGUGAAAGGACUUGCCAGGGUCUUACUUUGUCGUCCAGGCUGGAGUACAGUGGCAUGAUCAUAGCUCAUUGCAGCCUCCACCUCCCUGGGCUCAGGAGAUCCAUCUCAGCCUCCUGAAUAGCUGGGACCACAGGUUUUGUUAAGGUUUAGCACAAGCUGUGAUGAAUAUCUUCAAGCCUCUGCUUCCUGCUGUGGAAUUGUUGCCAAAGGACACAUUCCCAGAUGGGAUUACUGAGUCAGAGGAAGUGGACAUUGAGUGGCUGUCAACAGACAGGCACUCUCACAGUGCCCAGGUACCACCAGCAAUGUAUACACAUACAGGAAGUGCCGGCUUCCCUGUCGUCUUGUUGCCGUGGCAUGUUGCGGUCUCUAAGACCACCCCGGGUUUGAUGAUUGGCUAGGAGAACUCGCAGGACUCAGCAUACAGUGAUACUCGAGGCUAUGAUGUAUUACGACAACAGGAAAUGAAGCAAAU
Molecule: long non-coding RNA, 568 nt
Filed under: Pongo abelii (Sumatran orangutan)
Lineage: Eukaryota; Metazoa; Chordata; Mammalia; Primates; Hominidae
Description: lincRNA
Source: RNAcentral